AACGAACGCUGGCGGCGUGCCUAACACAUGCAAGUCGAGCGCGAAUUGGAGCAAUCCAUAGUAGAGCGGCGCACGGGUGCGUAACACGUGGGUAAUCUGCCUCAAAGAUCGGAAUAACCUGCCGAAAGGCUGGCUAAUGCCGGAUAAGCCUACGGACUCCUCGGAGUCUGAAGGAAAAGGUGGCCUCUGUACACAAGCUAUCACUUUGAGAUGAGCCCGCGGCCCAUCAGGUAGUUGGCGGGGUAAUGGCCCACCAAGCCUACGACGGGUAGCUGGUCUGAGAGGACGAUCAGCCACACUGGAACUGAGACACGGUCCAGACUCCUACGGGAGGCAGCAGUGGGGAAUUUUGCGCAAUGGGCGAAAGCCUGACGCAGCAACGCCGCGUGUGUGAUG
This 396-nucleotide ribosomal RNA is filed under the name uncultured bacterium. Its description in RNAcentral is "bacterial SSU rRNA". It matches the Rfam family "Bacterial small subunit ribosomal RNA", at positions 29 to 410 of the family's 1533-position model. The record is from RNAcentral.